GAUAAAUUAUCAAACUAACAGAAUCAUAUUAUUUUAAUUAAACAAAAUAAUUGUAUAAUGGUUCUACAUUUUUAUUAAACUUUUCGUUUGGUUACAUCACGUUUAAAUAUAUCAUUGAAAUGUUCAACCCUCAUUUCAGAUCAGCGUCAUCACCUAAUGAUUGGCAGCUGUUAUUUAUAUCUCAAUUUCAUCACGACCUCCUCAUCGCUGUGACAAGUACGUGUCAGUAAACUUUGAUUGAAUUGAAACGCAUUUGUCUUUUCAUUCACUCAAAGAAUACAUAUACACGUAUAUUCAUCUAUAAUCAGAAAUAUUUGUUUUUAUAUUUUUAUACAAUUUUUAUCUUGAUGUGCUAAC
RNAcentral lists this long non-coding RNA (357 nucleotides) under Mytilus galloprovincialis (Mediterranean mussel). The record is from RNAcentral. Lineage: Eukaryota; Metazoa; Mollusca; Bivalvia; Mytilida; Mytilidae.